This 363-nucleotide ribosomal RNA is filed under the name uncultured Lactobacillus sp. RNAcentral describes it as "bacterial SSU rRNA". It matches the Rfam family "Bacterial small subunit ribosomal RNA", at positions 179 to 525 of the family's 1533-position model. Lineage: Bacteria; Bacillati; Bacillota; Bacilli; Lactobacillales; Lactobacillaceae. The record is from RNAcentral.
GCUACUUUCGCAUGAAAGAAGUUUAAAAAGGCGGCGUAAAGCUGUCGCUAAAGGAUGGACCUGCGAUGCAUUAGCUAGUUGGUAAGGUAACGGCUUACCAAGGCGAUGAUGCAUAGCCGAGUUGAGAGACUGAUCGGCCACAUUGGGACUGAGACACGGCCCAAACUCCUACGGGAGGCAGCAGUAGGGAAUCUUCCACAAUGGACGCAAGUCUGAUGGAGCAACGCCGCGUGAGUGAAGAAGGUUUUCGGAUCGUAAAGCUCUGUUGUUGGUGAAGAAGGAUAGAGGUAGUAACUGGCCUUUAUUUGACGGUAAUCAACCAGAAAGUCACGGGCUAACUACGUGCCAGCAGCCGCGGUAAAU